RNAcentral lists this non-coding RNA (30 nucleotides) under Mus musculus (house mouse). Lineage: Eukaryota; Metazoa; Chordata; Mammalia; Rodentia; Muridae. The record is from RNAcentral.
UCUGAUGGCUUGUGUGAGGUUCCUCCCUUC